This 472-nucleotide ribosomal RNA is filed under the name Callinera sp. MCZ IZ 45635. RNAcentral describes it as "partial 16S ribosomal RNA". It matches the Rfam family "Bacterial large subunit ribosomal RNA", at positions 1831 to 2597 of the family's 2925-position model. The record is from RNAcentral. Lineage: Eukaryota; Metazoa; Nemertea; Palaeonemertea; Tubulaniformes; Tubulanidae.
AGCUUAUUGAAUUUUUAUUAAGUAUUUUCGCCCGGUGAUUUUUUAACGGCCGCGGUAUUUUGACCGUGCAAAGGUAGCAUAAUCAUUUGUCUAUUAAUUAUAGACUGGAAUGAAUGGAUUUUCGUAAAAGAUAUUGUCUCUUUUUUAUUUUUAAAAUUUUCUUUUUAAGUGAAGAAGCUUAUAUAAAUAUAAUAGACGAGAAGACCCUAUUGAGUUUUAUCUUUAUAGUAUUAUUGUUUAGUUUAAUUAAUUUUAUAUGAUUUGGUUGGGGCAACUGGGGAGGAUAAAAUUCUCUCUUUUUUUAUUUAGAUCCAGUCUUACUGAUUAAAAGAAUAAAUUACCAUAGGGAUAACAGCGUUAUCUUUUUAGAGAGUUCUUAUCGAUAAAAAGGUUUGCGACCUCGAUGUUGGACUAAAAUUUCCUAAAAAUGCAGAAGUUUUUAAUGGUAACUCUGUUCGACUUUUAAAAUUUU